RNAcentral lists this long non-coding RNA (871 nucleotides) under Fukomys damarensis (Damara mole-rat). RNAcentral's name for it is "lncRNA (ENSFDAG00000027239.1)". The record is from RNAcentral. Lineage: Eukaryota; Metazoa; Chordata; Mammalia; Rodentia; Bathyergidae.
CGGAGAAACAAUAGUGUGGUGGCGGUUGUUAAAAGCCAUCUCAUAUUGGACUGGUUGGCUCUGCAGCAAUAGGUGACGAAAAGAGAUGGCUUCUGUGGAAAAGUGGCAUCUAAGCUGCUCCCAAACUCCCAGUUGGCUGCCACAGCAACAUCAGAUGCCCUACAGCUGAAGAGAGGAGACGUUUGCUUCUGUUUCUGGUCCAUCCCACAUGAUUCCACUCAAAGCAUCUUCUCUGGACAACUCUGCCCCUCUCAGCCAUCUUCAGUCAGCUCCCUUCCCAGGACUAAACAGAAGGGGACACUGCCCUCCCUGCCUGGGCCUGCCUCUCCGGCCCCUCCCCAUGCCCCUAGGGCAUCAACCCAUGCACAUCUCCCCACUAGGCUAAGUCCCAAUGAAGCCUCUUUCAGAUGGAGUGUUGUCUACUCCUGAUUUCUAUCGCUAGUAGAGCAAGCUGAGCUGGUAACACCAAAGGCUGCUGUCACCAGACGUGGUCAGGAGCCAAGCUGGUAACACUGAGGGCGGCGGCAGCUGAUGAGGGGGAGCAACGGAGAAUGGCUGGGAGCUGCCCUCCUGGGUCACCAGAAGAGUUCCUGAGGACUCUCCAUAGCUCCUGGCUCCAGCAGCGAGAGUGGCAGGGGGCUGCUAACACUACGAGCUGAUAGCCGCCGGCAUUCAAAGCUCAGGGAUCUUAACACUAAAAGAGCUACACUUAUUUGUGAUUUCUCUCUGAAGUGAGCAAAAGAACCAUCAGCGAAUCAGUGUCCUGGUAAUCUGGGUGCACAUCUGUCUUCUGAAAGGCCUGUCCUUCCUGACUCUGGGGGGAGGCGUGUGUGAGUGUGGUCAUUCAAGGACAGUGAUUCUCCAACAGAGC